UCCGGUUUGUCACCGGCAGUCUCCUCAGAGUCCCCGACUUUACUCGCUGGCAACAUAGGACAAGGGUUGCGCUCGUUGCGGGACUUAACCCAACACCUCACGACACGAGCUGACGACAGCCAUGCAGCACCUGUGUGUAGGUCCCGUAAGGGAAGGAAUCUGUCUCCAGAAACCGUCCUACCAUGUCAAACGCUGGUAAGGUUCUGCGCGUUGCUUCGAAUUAAACCACAUGCUCCACCGCUUGUGCAGGCCCCCGUCAAUUUCUUUGAGUUUUAACCUUGCGGCCGUACUCCCCAGGCGGGAAGCUUAAUGCGUUAGCUGCGCCACUGACAGGCAAGCCUGCCAACGGCUAGCAUCCAUCGUUUACGGCGUGGACUAC
RNAcentral lists this unclassified non-coding RNA (379 nucleotides) under uncultured Alphaproteobacteria bacterium. RNAcentral's name for it is "contains 16S-23S intergenic spacer region". The record is from RNAcentral. Lineage: Bacteria; Pseudomonadati; Pseudomonadota; Alphaproteobacteria.